Molecule: long non-coding RNA, 712 nt
Filed under: Homo sapiens (human)
Lineage: Eukaryota; Metazoa; Chordata; Mammalia; Primates; Hominidae
Description: HSALNT0354319
Source: RNAcentral
ACUCACAGCCUCUCUGUGUCAAUAGACAGAGUCAGCCCAGAGUUAUGACUUCACAGAAAGAUGAAGCAAAAGCUGGGAGACGAGGCAGGACCAGCUUUAAAAGAAGGCUGUAAGCUCAGACAACAAGUAGCAAAAGAAACACUGACCACUCACAGGCUGGGGAUUCAGAACCUGCGGAUGUGGAGGGCCAGAGGGCUGAAUUUGCAAGUUGGGCAAUGGGGAAAGCCUUCACAAAGGAGAAAGCCUUUGGGCUGGAAUUGGAGGAGUAGGAGUCAAUAGAGAGAGAAGAGAGUAAAGGGCAAGGCCAUCAUUCCAGGUUUAGGGAGCAAGUACAAAGACACAGAGAAAUGAAAAGGCUUGGCCUGUUUGGAGAAUGUCAAGCUGUCUGGGGUUGAGAGAAAGACAUUCUAACAAGGCUUCCAUUAAAGAGGCUAGAUUUGCUGCUUGGACAUUUUCUAGCUCUUCUGAGACAACUUUUUGUUGAGUUAAGCGAAAAUGAAUGAAAAUCAGAUGGACCAUAUUUCUCUUGAAUGCACACGGGCUUAAAAACGAAGGGGAAAAAGAACUUGACAGAAUGUGUCUUGGCUUUUGCCAAACCCAAAGUAUUUGAAAAAUCACACAGUACACAUCUCGAACCCAAAAACAUGCCUGGAUUCUACCACCCCUAACUGCAGCUGCAGCCAUUUAAUAAAAUGAAUUGUGUACAAGAAAA